AGGGACCCUGCAGCUGGGGCGGCCGAGGUGCUCCUGGGAGUGCCAGCAGCACCACGGUGGGGACAGCACCUGCUGCCCCGAACCCUCCUGAGCCCGGGGGACCGGGGCACAGGGAGGUGGCUGGAGCCAGAGACGAUCCCCCAUAACAGUGGCAAACACCACUCUGUACCGCUCGGGCUGGGUACUUACCCGCAGCCAACAGCAGGCUCCACUGCAGGCUGUACGGCAGCUUCUGCCGCGCCAUCUUCUGCACCGCGAAGGCGGCCACGCUGCCUGCCAAGACCGAGGCCGGGGUUACUGGACACGGCCGGGACGUCCUCGCUGCCCCCGCGGAGCGGCCAAGGACAGCCCGGGGGAUGCCGGGGUGGCUGGACCGGCCCGUACCUGCCAAGAAGGUGCCGAUGCCCUUCAAGAAGGCGUGAGACUGGCAAGCCGCGUACUGCUGCAGCGCCUGCGGGGAGGCAUCAGCGCGAGGGCCGGAGGCCCACCCGGCCCUCUCAGUCCCGGCCCCCCCCGCACCCCCAGGCCCCCCAGCCCGUCCCCCGCGGGGCGCACCGGGUACUUGGCAGCCACAUCGUCCUCCACCCGCCGCACGCCCAGGUUCACCAUGGCGAGGCUGCCGGGCCCGGCCCGGGCCAGGAUCCGCCCUUGCCACCCGCCCCUUCCGCCGCGGCCAUGGAGGAACCGGCGGGGCCUUUUCAUGUGCUCCGAACCGGGUCAGGCCGGUUCCUCUGCUACUGCGGACCCGACGGCGCCGUCUAUGUGACCGACGCGAUGGAGGUCUGGGCCGGGGAGCUCGGUGGCUGCCCGGCACUCGGCUUUCGGUGCCCGCCGGAGGAGCACGGCGCGAUGCUCAGGGCCGCCCUGGAUCACGGAGCCGCCGCGCUGAGCCUGGGCCCGGGUUCGGCCACGCUGCGGCUGCCGGAGGAGCCGCAGUGCCCGGCCCUAGCCCUCGCCCAGCUGCCCGCCGCCGAGGCGCGCAGCCAGCUGCAGGCGCUGGUCUUCGGCAUGGCCGGCUGCAUCGAGAACCUGGAGAGGCGCCUGGAAGUGGAGACGUUAGCAUCUUCCUGCAGCCCUGAGAAGAACGCUGCCCGGAGCCAGCAGCUCUUCUUGCCAGGUAGGCACUGCCAGGGGCACCUGCCCUGCUCCUGCAAUCUUCUGUCUUCUCCCUCCUGGAGGCUGCUGGUCCUGUAUCCAUGUGCUCUCCAGGACACUCUGAGUGCCCUCAGCUCUGGCUGCUGGCAGCCACCUCUUGUCCUGGUGCUCUUCCAGGCAGAGCAGGGGGAGGGCUUAGUGUGGUGGCUCUCAGGGUGUCUGGGAUGCUCAGGUCAAAGGCUGGGCAUUGCCAGCCUCGGAAGGAGGGUAGGCUUUCCUGUGCUUCCAGACUGGAGGCUGUGUGGAUCCAUGGCUCCUUUUGGGAGAGGAGGCCAAGUCUUCCCCUUUCUUGCCCUCUGUGGCUGCUGGUCCUGCCAGGCUGGGCUCCCGGAGGCUCCCCCUAGCCGUGGAGGGACUGGCAGGGCAGCCAGAGCUUCUGGGUAGCCUGUAGUCUGUGUCCUGCCUGUUCCUGACCGAGGCAGACCCCAGCCCCAGGAAGAGUAAGGCUUCUGGCUCAGCUUUGCCAGGCAAAAGGAAGGUACCAGGGGAGUCUCUCAUUAACCCUGGUUUCAAAAGCAAGAAGGCGCCAUCUGGAGU
Camarhynchus parvulus is the source of this 1692-nucleotide RNA transcript. It is a transcript of the gene named PAXX non-homologous end joining factor, with no coding region annotated. NCBI's taxonomy places the organism in Eukaryota, Metazoa, Chordata, Aves, Passeriformes, Thraupidae. The transcript has 6 exons. The record is from RefSeq and is a predicted model, not a curated record.